Molecule: long non-coding RNA, 4143 nt
Organism: Ctenopharyngodon idella (grass carp)
Lineage: Eukaryota; Metazoa; Chordata; Actinopteri; Cypriniformes; Xenocyprididae
Exons: 4
Source: RefSeq, a predicted model, not a curated record
GUUCAUUCUCAUGUUACGCAGCACGUUUGAGCUUCCGCAAGAACCAAUGAGAUUCAGUCUCGUGUUACGCAGCACGUUUGAGCUUUUGUAAGAACCAGUCAGGUUCAUUCUCGUGUUACGCAGCACGUUUGAGCUUCCGCAAGAACCAAUGAGGUUCAUUCUCGUUUUACGCAGCACGUUUGAGCUUCCGCAAGAACCAAUGAGGUUCAUUCUCGUUUUACGCAGCACGUUUGAGCUUCCGCAAGAACCAAUGAGGUUCAUUCUCGUUUUACGCAGCACGUUUGAGCUUCCGCAAGAACCAAUGAGGUUCAUUCUCGUGUUACGCAGCACGUUUGAGCUUCUGCAAGAACCAAUGAGAUUCAGUCUCGUGUUACGCAGCACGUUUGAGCUUUUGUAAGAACCAGUCAGGUUCAUUCUCGUGUUACGCAGCAUGUUUAAGCUUCCGCAAGAACCAAUGAGGUUCAUUCUCAUUUUACGCAGCACGUUUGAGCUUCCGCAAGAACCAAUGAGGUUCAUUCUCAUUUUACGCAGCACGUUUGAGCUUCCGCAAGAACCAAUGAGGUUCAUUCUCGUGUUACGCAGCACGUUUGAGCUUCAGCAAGAACCAAUGAGGUUUAUUCUCGUGUUACGCAGCACGUUUGAGCUUCAGCAAGAACCAAUGAGGUUCAUUCUCGUGUUAUGCAUCACGUUUGAGCUUUUGUAAGAACCAAUCAGGUUUAUUCUCGUGUUUUGCAGCACAUUUGAGCUUCUUGUGCGUCAAGCAUGUUUGGUUGAGCUUCUGUUUAUGUUCGCUGAUCAAUGUUUAUAUGUGAGUAAAAGCCUAAAUUAAAUCUGUUCAUCAUAAAAUGUGGACUAAACCGCUCAAUUCAUAUGGAUUAGUUUUAUGAUCUCUUUGUGACCAUUUUGAAGCGUCAAAGUUUCAGUUGUGUAGCUCUCUAUGGAGGGACAGAAAGCUCUCAGAUUUCAUCAAAAAGAUCUUCAUUUGUGUUAUGAAGAUGAACGAAAGUCUUACGGGUUUGAAACGACAUGAUUAGUUUUAUUGCAUGUUUUGCUGAAAAAAGUAAGAUUAAUAUAUGCCUACUUUCUAGUCAGAAUGUCCAGCACUCACUUGGAUUUCGGUCAAAUUGACAAAACGAGCACAGAAAUUUGAACCAAGUCAUGUGACCCACAUACUCCAAACAGACUCAACUAUGAUAAUGAUAACAGUAUUGGAUGAAAAAAAUUGGAUGAAAGUAUUGGAUGAAAAAUUGGAUGAAAAUUCUUUAUCAUGCCUCCUCCAAGAGACUAAAGUGUACAUAUCCUGUGGUGCGCGUUGCAAUGACAGAUUCUUCAUUUUUGGGUGGUCUGGCUCUUUAAAGGUGUCCUAUCACAUGCAUAUGGACUAAGAGUAUCUUCAUAACUCCAGCUCCGUUUAUGAUCGCCAUGAUUGUUUUCACGUUUCUAGGGGAUUUUAAGUGCCUUUGUUCGUCCUCCAGCCGCUGACACAUGAAUCUCGGUGGCAGAGGUUAAGAGCUCGUGUACUCAAACAUGAGUUAUGACACACUUUAGGAGGACAGAGAAGGCACAGGCUCCCUUUAUCUGCUGUUUGACUUGGACAAGUGAGGACACGUUUCUUCUGUGGGCAUUUACUAGACUCCAUCUCUAUUUAAUGGGAAGGAUCUUCCUGUCCUGUUGCGGUUUGACUUAAGGUUCAAUUCUGUGGGCUGUAAGAGGUGAAAUACAGUUGAAGGGGCUCGUAGGAUCAACAUCAGAGCCGCUCUGGUACUGGACGCAUGAGGCAUUUUUUUUAUCAUUUUUAAGCGAAUUACAUGUAGUCUGAAAUCUGAAAACCAACAUGAAAUCAAAGCGACUCUUCUGUUGUGCAACUUAAAAUGAUUCUCCUAUGAAAUUAUUUGGUUCUUUCUGAAAUGUUUUUAGGUUUUUAAGAGGAUUCACUCUUGUUCUGCUGUAAUCUAAACAGCCACUAGUUCUAGGACUAACAUGUCAGUUCUCUUCCCAUUGAACCUCUAUCUGACCUGUCCACCAGCAGCAUGAAUCAACCCAAAAACUUUCAGGAUGACCUAAUGUCAGAUAUGUAACCGCAUGUCAACCACUUACAUUAGUAACAGUGAUUUCAGACAUGUGGUUAUGAAGCAUUAAAACACUUUACAGGAAAUUGAACGGAAGCACAGACAAGAUGACACAGCAAUCUUUAAAUGGACGGGACGUACCAAAACACACAAUCAUAACAAGCAGUCCUACAGACCGUCACACACUUCAACAGUUGUGUUAAAACUCCCUCACUGCAGACAAGUUCAGGAUUGCGGGGAUUUACGAUCAGCCUCUUAUCGGGAAAAUAAGCCAUCAUGUUUGAAGCCUGUAGAUGAAAAUACAUUAUCAGUGACAGUUUUUCACCCCGCAGCCUUCAAGUGAACAUCAUCUGAACUGUGUUACAUCAGAACAAACACUUACAAUAGCAUUCCAGACCAGAGGUCACCUACAGUAACACUGAGAAUAUUAGCAAUGUUUGAGAUGAAUUAUAAAUUUAACUCUUUUAUCUGCUGCUCUUUAUUGAAACAGAACUUGUAUUUAUUGCUCAUGCUUAUAUAAGCAAUUACAAAAACUAAAAACAAAAGCUAAUUUGAAAUAUUAAUAAAUACUAAAGGCAGAAACACGCACCUGAAUGUGAUCGAGAGAGAGACUGGUGUGUUUAGGUGAUAGUAAACACAGAGCCACGAUCACACACAAAGACAGAAUCAUAUUUAUACAGCCAGAAACAUUAAACAGCCUCUGAGUGUUUGAUCUGCUUCUGCUGGAUGAGAGGAACAACCCAGAGAAACCAGAAUCACAAACACAAACAAUGCCUGUGAAAAGGUCAGAACCGCUUUUGGUCUAAAACGCAUUGGUGACACACUAUAGGGGCAAACGUGCUAAAUCGUUUUUAUUUCAAAGGAGAGUUAAAAAAAAAAAAAAAGAAAUUCCCUGAGUUGUAUUGCAAUAUUUGUUGUGCAUAGAGGAGAAUUUCAGCAAUGUUGGUUAAAUAUUAUCUCAGGAACGGUUAUCUGUCCAGCUGGGUCCAAACACACUUUCUCACACACAGCGCAGCUCUCUUUUGUUCACUUUCAUAUGUUUAUCUGUAGGAACCUCAUGAAAUGGUUAAACAGCCCUGUUGUGAUCUAUUUCCUGUUAAAACAGGAAGUUUGGAACCUCAGUCUGAAACCUAAUCACCCACUACCUACUACAUUUUUUAUUAUUAUCAUUUAUUAAAAAUAUUUGCUAUAUGUCCACUGAAAACAUCUUAAUUAACUAGGUCAAUAUAAGUCAAAUAUAUUUAACAUUCUUCUCAAUAAACAUUUGAUCACAAUUAAAUUAAAUCUUUAAUCUAAAUUAUUAGAUAUUUUUAAAUCAAUGAAACAAUCAUUUUAUGUUCUAUUGGGGUCUCUUAAAGGGACAGUUCACCCAAAAAUCAUGUUGUUCCAAACCUGUAUGACUUUUUUCAUCUGUGGAACAUAAAAGGUUUGAAUAUCUGGAACCAAAUUAAGAAAUUUCUCCAAAAAAAUCUUCUUCCACAGAAGAAAGAAAGUCCUACAGGUUCAGAAUGAGUAAAUUUUGACAGGAUGAUCAUCUUUGGGUGAUCUAUCCCUUUAAAGAAGACCCAUUAUGUUCCAAUUUUUUUUUUUUUUUUACAUGUUCAGCUUUCUUUAUUGUGAAAUGUUGCUGUCUGAGCAUUAAAAAGGUCUGCAGUUACAAAGUUUCUGCUUUAUUGCAGUUACUGUUUCUGAACUUGUAGUUCUGAGAUUUCUUCUGGGAACGAACACGUCACAAUAUUCCUCAUUUAAAUAAUUCCCUCCCAAGGCAUAUGCAAAAUAAAAGGACGGGGCCUGGUUUAGUUGCAUUAGUGGUGUGUUGAAACUCGCGGUUAUGGUAAGGGGCGGGACAUUUCCCAAACACACUCGAAGCACUUGACCAAUCACAACACAAUGAUCCAGCUGACCAAUCAGAGCACAUUGUGCUCUUCAGAAAGAGGGGCUUCAUAGAGACAGGAACUAAACAGAGUGUUACCAACAGACUGGGAAGAGAGGGGCUGCAACAAUAGAGAAUAUGGGAAAUAAUGUGUUUUUUGAACAUUUAACAUUAAAACCUAUUCUAGUAAAGCCCAAAAAC